UACGGAGGGUGCAAGCGUUAUCCGGAUUCACUGGGUUUAAAGGGUGUGUAGGCGGGCAGGUAAGUCCGAGGUGAAAUCUCUGAGCUCAACUCAGAAACUGCCUUGGAUACUAUUUGUCUUGAAUAUCGUGGAGGUGAGCGGAAUAUGUCAUGUAGCGGUGAAAUGCAUAGAGAUGACAUAGAACACCGAUUGCGAAGGCAGCUCACUACGCGAAGAUUGACGCUGAGGCACGAAAGCGUGGGGAUCAAACAGG
This 253-nucleotide ribosomal RNA is filed under the name uncultured bacterium. Its description in RNAcentral is "partial 16S ribosomal RNA". It matches the Rfam family "Bacterial small subunit ribosomal RNA", at positions 524 to 776 of the family's 1533-position model. The record is from RNAcentral.